CUAGAAAGGAAUUGCAGACCCAAAGGGUAUGGAUAUUUUCUAGACUUUUGCUAUAUAUAGCAAAAUUGCAACAAAAAUUCAUAAGAUUUGAGAACUGUAUUAAUUUCAUUGAGCUAAACUAGUGUUUACAUGUUAUCUGCUAGCAUUUUUCAUUUAGAAGAUAAAAAUAUGAAAUAUAAAAGUCAAUGAAUUAUUUUCAUGCUACUAAUGACAUUUUACCAUCUUUUCUAGAUACGAGGACAAAUGUAUCAGAUGAUUGUAUAUUUGAAUACUUCAGAAGACAAUUCCCUAAUAAAGCUUUGGAUACAACGUAGUGGGAGAGGGGGCCUAAAUAACCACAGCAGAGCUCAGUGUACAGUUUGGAGAAAAGAAUUUGGUAUUGGGCAUCACGAAGGAGACUGAAUCUCACAAGUCUAAGGUGAGACAAGCAAGUACUUCAAAAUCCAUUGAAAGUUUUUUCACCUCCCCAAAAGACACCAAUGCUCAGUUAAAAAUAAUAGCUGGUGGACUCGUUUGGGCAUACCACAUGAAUGAACAUUCAUUAUCAUACAAUUCCCUUGGUUGCUUGAUGAAACUGAGUAAAAUUACAUUUCAUGAUUCAGAAGUUUCCACUAAAAUGUCCUGUGGAUCAACCAAAGGGGAAAUUUUGGUGACAGAUGUGUUAGCCUCUUAUAAUGUAAAGUUCAUUUUGUCAGAUCUUACCAAUGAUAAUGUUUUCUACAGUGUAUCACAUGAUACACUGAAUCAAAAAAAUUCCCUCUAGCACUUAGGUGCUUUAAUUUGAAAAAUGAGGUCUCAAAUAUUGAUUUCUUUGAUUUUUAUGAAACCACAAAAGAAAAUGUAAAACCAAAUAUUGUUAAUAUGUUGUCCAAAUACAAAUUGGACUUUGCUCAUCUAUCUGCAUUUUUGGCAGACAGUGAAAAUGUAAAUUUUGGAAAAUUUCAUUCAGUCUAUAAACUUCUUACCAAAGAAAAUAAAAAAUCUUACCUGCAAAUGUCUUGCACACCUUGUACUAAAACAGAGGGUGUGAUUUGCCAUCUGUGAUGAAAGUUUUUGCUCACUUUUUAGUUUCCUCAAAACAUGCAGAAGCACUUAAUGAGAUUUUUGGCUUCAUAGAAAUGGAAGAAGGUAGCCUCCUUAGACUUGAGCCUACAAGAUGGCUAUCAUUGUUGCUGGCCAGUAGAAAAGACUUUAAAAUGUUGGUCUGCCAUUAAAUCACAUUUUCAACCUGUGGGAUAAGAAGAACGUCCUCCUCUAAUUUGGAAAUAGUUUGAAGAUGAGAAUAGAGGAAAAGACUACAGUAAAAUAAUUUAUAUACGGUUUCUGUAAAACUGUUGCAUGAUCUUUGAAGAGGCCAUAAGGAGCAUAGAAAAGGAUGAAUUAACUGCACCUGAGUUGUUCAAUAUUAUUUGUAGCUUUUAACAAAAACUCAUACAGUGAAAAAAAUGAUAUUUUGGGGUAAAUAAGACUGACUCAGAACUCAAAAAUAUGUCACCAGAAAGGGGUAACUAAGUAAAACAGUGCUAAAACCUGUAAUUUAUUUGAAGUCUACCUUCAGUUUAGGUUCAAACUAUCUCUGUGCUUUAAAAACAUUUUCCCUGAGAAAGAGAAGUUUAACUUAUGAUGAAAUCCAAUGUGCUUUAGAAUGUCUAAAAACAAUUGACAUUUUAAAUACGGUGACCUUACAUAAUGAAUUUAAAGAGGCAGAAGGUCUGAAAGCCCAAACACUAGUCUACUAAAACCAGUCUAUAGAUACAAAGUGGAAGGACAUUUUUGGAGAGCCGGAAACUAAUUCAUUACAAGUCUAGAAAUCUGCUGUUCUUAAUAAGUAAAGUCGUAUUCCAUGCUCAAACUCAUCUGUUGACAGCAUACCUAACUUGAUGUCAUUGCAUUGGACUGCCACCAGGAAUCAGUGUAAUGUGAGCUUGAGAAGAGGAGACCUGCAAGUCAAAGAGAACUUGAUCUUGAAUGUGUUUGGUUUUACGACUACAUAAAAUAAAAGAAGGAUAUCCUAAAGGCUGGCAAGCAGUUCAGAGGAGUAUUACUGGAAAAGGAAACACAAAGAGCAAAAAUAUCCUACUUUAUCAUGAGACAUAAACAUUCAUUGUUAAUUUUAAUUAAAUAUAGGUAAUAGGUAUUUAUCAGCCCCAUUGUAUUUACAUUCAACUUUUAAAAGGUCUUAUAUUUAUGUGUCUUAGGAAUACGUAAUAGGGGCUGGCCCCAUGGCUGAGUGGUUAAGUUUGUGGGCUCUGCUUCGGCUACCUAGGGUUCACCAGUUCAGAUCCUUGGCAUGGACCUACAUACUGUUCAUCAAGCUGUGCUGUGGUGGCAUCCCACAUAGAAGAACUGGAAUGACUUAUAAAUAGGAUAAUCAACUAUGUGCUAGGGCUUUGGGGAGGAAAAAAAAAAGAGGAAGAUUGGCAGCAGAUGUUAGCUCAGGGCCAAUCUUAUUCACCAAACAACAACAACAACAAAAACAUAACAAUAUGGUGUAUAAAAUUUAAAUAUCCAAUAAAAAGUUAAAAUCUGUAUCGGGGAAA
RNAcentral lists this long non-coding RNA (2540 nucleotides) under Equus caballus (horse). RNAcentral describes it as "lncRNA (ENSECAG00000051200.1)". Lineage: Eukaryota; Metazoa; Chordata; Mammalia; Perissodactyla; Equidae. The record is from RNAcentral.